UACGUAGGGGGCAAGCGUUGUUCGGAUUCAUUGGGCGUAAAGGGUGCGUAGGUGGCGGGGUAAGUCAGGUGUGAAAUCUCGGGGCUCAACCCCGAAACUGCACUUGAUACUGCCUUGCUCGAGUACUGGAGAGGAGAUUGGAAUUUACGGUGUAGCAGUGAAAUGCGUAGAUAUCGUAAGGAAGACCAGUGGCGAAGGCGAAUCUCUGGACAGUUACUGACACUGAGGCACGAAGGCCAGGGGAGCAAACGGG
RNAcentral lists this ribosomal RNA (253 nucleotides) under uncultured bacterium. Its description in RNAcentral is "partial 16S ribosomal RNA". It matches the Rfam family "Bacterial small subunit ribosomal RNA", at positions 524 to 776 of the family's 1533-position model. The record is from RNAcentral.